RNAcentral lists this non-coding RNA (924 nucleotides) under Elephantulus rupestris (western rock elephant shrew). RNAcentral describes it as "partial 12S ribosomal RNA". It matches the Rfam family "Bacterial small subunit ribosomal RNA". The record is from RNAcentral. Lineage: Eukaryota; Metazoa; Chordata; Mammalia; Macroscelidea; Macroscelididae.
UCAGUAGGAUUAUACAUGCAAGUAUCUGCCAACCAGUGAAAAUGCCCUUCUACUCGCUCGCACAAGCGAUCCCAAAGGAGCUGGUAUCAAGCACACUUUAAGUAGCUCAAAACACCUUGCCAAGCCACACCCCCACGGGAUACAGCAGUAAUAAAAAUUAAGCAAUAAACGAAAGUUUGACUAAGCCAUGCUGACAAAGGGUUGGUCAAUCUCGUGCCAGCCACCGCGGUCAUACGAUUAACCCUAAUUAAUGAUUAAACGGCGUAAAGUGUGGUUAAAACAAGUAUAAUAAUGAAGUUAAACUAGUUCUCAGCUGUAAAAAGCUAAAGGUCUAAGGUUAUUAAACAACUAACGUAAUUUCACUAUAAAUGAACCCACGAUAGCUAAGACACAAACUGGGAUUAGAUACCCCACUAUGCUUAGCCGUAAACUCUGAUAAUUAGUAACAAAAAUAUCCGCCAGAGAACUACAAGCCAAUGCUUAAAACUCAAAGGACUUGGCGGUGCUUUAUACCCCCUAGAGGAGCCUGUUACAUAAUCGAUAUACCCCGAUAAACCCCACCAUCACUUGCUAAAUCAGUCUAUAUACCGCCAUCUUCAGCAAACCCUUAAAAGGAACUAUAGUAAGCUUAAACGUACUCACAAAAACGUUAGGUCAAGGUGUAACCUAUGUGAUGGACCAUAAUGGGCUACAUUUUCUUUACAAGACCACCCACGGACUCUCAAAUGAAAUUAAUGAGAUAAAGGAGGAUUUAGUAGUAAGUCAGGAGUAGAGAGCCUGACUGAAUCUGGCUAUGAAGCACGCACACACCGCCCGUCACCCUCCUCAAGUAUUUUAGACCCAUAAUCAUAUUUAUAUAUAACAAAUAUGAGAGGAGACAAGUCGUAACAAGGUAAGCAUACUGGAAAGUGUGCUUGGAAUAUC